This 440-nucleotide ribosomal RNA is filed under the name uncultured bacterium. Its description in RNAcentral is "bacterial SSU rRNA". It matches the Rfam family "Bacterial small subunit ribosomal RNA", at positions 338 to 795 of the family's 1533-position model. The record is from RNAcentral.
CCUACGGGAUGCACCAGUGGGGAAUAUUGGACAAUGGGCGAAAGCCUGAUCCAGCAAUGCCGCGUGUGUGAAGAAGGUCUUCGGAUUGUAAAGCACUUUCGACGGGGACGAUGAUAACGGUACCCGUAGAAGAAGCCCCGGCUAACUUCGUGCCAGCAGCCGCGGUAAUACGAAGGGGGCUAGCGUUGCUCGGAAUGACUGGGCGUAAAGGGCGCGUAGGCGGUUUAUGCAGUCAGAUGUGAAAUCCCCGGGCUUAACCUGGGAACUGCAUUUGAGACGCAUAGACUAGAGGUCGAGAGAGGGUUGUGGAAUUCCCAGUGUAGAGGUGAAAUUCGUAGAUAUUGGGAAGAACACCGGUGGCGAAGGCGGCAACCUGGCUCGAUACUGACGCUGAGGCGCGAAAGCGUGGGGAGCAAACAGGAUUAGAUACCCGUGUAGUC